Long non-coding RNA from Ornithodoros turicata, 686 nucleotides. RefSeq lists it as uncharacterized. The record is from RefSeq and is a predicted model, not a curated record. Lineage: Eukaryota; Metazoa; Arthropoda; Arachnida; Ixodida; Argasidae. The transcript has 4 exons.
UGCAGCCGUGACUGACGCACCUUGAUAUCCGCUUCGUGGACUGUUUACAUUGCGUUGCAAACGCGUGACGACCGUGUCAUGCCGAACCGUAAAUAUGGAGCUCUAGUAUGUCUGCGCGGGCCUACGUGCGUUAGUGUGAUGGCGUUUAUCUUUUGCGUGCGCCGUUCGUGUGCGGUAUACAAAAACCAGCUUACGUUGAUUGCGUGAUCUUCUCUUUGUCUCAACAAACGCGACGGGCUGGCCAUAUCCCCUUCCGUCGAAGGAGCUGUUGUUUGCCUAAGAAGAUGUGAAUGUGAGCACUAACAACAACACAGGCAUGUACAAAAACUCCACUGUAGCAUAUUGACCAGGUGUCCAGUUAUACGUAAGAUGUCCAUACCCAGAGGAUGAGGGGGAAAACCUCUCUUCCUCCAUUAUCACAUGAUACUGUUGUGUUACUCCGGCUUGAAGUCAGCAAUUAAGGUACCUGGAAAGAGGUAAGAGAGUGCCACACAGCUCAUCCAACAACCGUAUUGGUCCCUCAUUGGUAUUGAUCCGUAUUGGUCGUAUGUUAUCAGCAAAUAAUGGCUCGAGUCCCUGCGCAGUCUCUAGAGGAUGUCCAGUGCAAGUUGAACUGGUCCAACACAGCCGUACACCAGAGAUAUGGUAAUGGUUGGUAAGAUUUUUCUUUUCUUUUUUUUGUAAUG